Long non-coding RNA from Phymastichus coffea, 564 nucleotides. RefSeq lists it as uncharacterized. NCBI's taxonomy places the organism in Eukaryota, Metazoa, Arthropoda, Insecta, Hymenoptera, Eulophidae. The record is from RefSeq and is a predicted model, not a curated record. The transcript is spliced from 3 exons.
ACUAAUUAUUGAAAGAAUUGAACGGUUUAUCCAAAGAUUUUAUAAAAUAAGGUUAAAGGAAGAGAACUCUAAAAAGAUUAACACUACCAAUAUUAUAUUUAAGUACUGACAUAAAUGAAAUUAAAACUUUUAUAAUGGACAAGAGAGCACUAAAAAGUAAUGUUGACAUUACUGGUCUUAGAAAAUAAAAAUCAAUACAUACCCUCGACUUAUCAUUAAAAGAUACCACUAAUUUCAAUAGUUUGAAUGAUAAAUUAGCUGAAGAAGGGAGUGAAUUAAAAAGCUAUUUUGAGAAAUAUCUGUGAAUAUUACGGUGCAAGAAUUGGAUAAAAUAUUAAGGUUAACGAUCAAAGAAUUUCUAUCAAAGUCCAGAGCGAUGCAAUUGAUUACCGUAAAACUAAUGUCAAACAAUAUUGUAUUUUUUAAGUGUUUUUGGUAGAAUCGUGAAAGAUUGUUUUAUUAAAUAUUACCCAGACCUUCAAGUGGCUAGUCCAAUGCGAUUUGACAGUGCUAUAUUACGUUAUCAAUAGUGCAAGACAUUGAGGUGGUCAUACAAAAGCGAAA